RNAcentral lists this small nucleolar RNA (126 nucleotides) under Propithecus coquereli (Coquerel's sifaka). Its description in RNAcentral is "Small nucleolar RNA SNORA28 (ENSPCOG00000005493.1)". It matches the Rfam family "Small nucleolar RNA SNORA28". From Rfam's summary of the family: ACA28 is a member of the H/ACA class of snoRNA that guide the sites of modification of uridines to pseudouridines. The record is from Rfam by way of RNAcentral. Lineage: Eukaryota; Metazoa; Chordata; Mammalia; Primates; Indriidae.
AAGCAACACUCUGUGGCAGAUGAUCAAAACUGUCUGACACAAUUUGAGCUUGCUAUAGCAAGAAAGUCUAAGCUAUUCCGGUGUUCUUCCUUCUGUGAGACAAGCCGUUAUAUUGACUUAAACAGU